This is an unclassified non-coding RNA of 299 nucleotides. It matches the Rfam family "Metazoan signal recognition particle RNA". From Rfam's summary of the family: The signal recognition particle (SRP) is a universally conserved ribonucleoprotein. It is involved in the co-translational targeting of proteins to membranes. The record is from Ensembl.
GCAGGGUGCAGUGGCGCGCGCCUGUAAUCCAAGCUGCUGGGAGGCUGAGGCUGGCGGAUCGCUUGAGUUCAGGGGUUCUGGGCUGCAGUGGACUAUGUCGAUCGGGUGUCCGCGCUAAGUUCGGUAUCGAUAUGGUGCUCCUGGGGGAGCUCGGGACCACCAGGUCGUCUAAGGAGGGGUGAACCGGCCCAGGUCGGAGACGGAGCAGGUCAAAGCCCCCGUGCCGAUCAGUAGUGGGGUCGCACCUGUGAAUAGACACUGCAGUGCAGCCUGAGCGAUACAGCGAGACUCAGACUUUU